CAAAUAAAGCAGGGAAAGGGGAUAGUGACUAGGGGUAGGAGUGGCAGAGUGCUAUGUUAGAAAAGGCUUUGCUGAAGAGGUGACAUUUGAGUCCCAAAUGAAUUGACGUUGAGAGCCACACAGCAAUCUGGGAAGGCAAACACUCUGCAGUGGGAACACGCUCAGCUUGGGCAUGCAACAGCGGAGACGAGCAGACUGGAGCAGAAUCCCAUCUCAACCAUCAGUCCCUCAGAGGACAGUUCUCCGACCUCCCUUACUACUAGGCGGCACCUCUCUGGCCUUCCUAAUGCCUCUGUCCCAGCAACCACGCCCUCACCCAUUCUUCUUAGGGCUCCUUUACAUUCCUUUGUAUGAUUGUGUGACCCUCUGUCUCCCCUCGUGGGCUGCAAGCUUCAAGAGGGCCAGGACUCUAUUGCUUUUGUUAUUGUGCCUCUUGCCCCAAUGUGGUGCGCAACACAUGGGAAACUCAGUAACUACUGUUGAACCAAGAUGCAAAUGAGGAGUACAGACGGAAGAAAGAGGGAGGCUUCUUCAGGAGCUCACAUGAAUCACUGCUAUGGAGACUCUGCCAAAAGAGCUCAGGGAAGAGGAAGCCCUUUCAAGGGCACUCAUUCUAGCAAUUGGAUUGGUGCAGGCUUGUGCCCUAAUACUGGGUAUAAGAUUGCAAGUAUUAUGCUUUGCCAGUUGUGGGUCUAACCUUUAAGAGGCCUGGCAGUUUCUAAUUCCAGCCUUGACCCUGAGCCUCCAUCAAAGAAGUUCAGGCUAUUCUGCUGGAGAGAAAGACCACGCAGAGGAGCACUGGGAUGCCAGAUAUGUGAGUGAAGAAACUUCUGUUGAAUAAUCAGCCCAGUGAAGCCUUCAGAUGACUUCUGCCUCAGCUGCCAUCUAACUACAAAUGCUGGGAUUCUCACCCUUGGAUCUUGAAGCAGAAAGACUCUUUGGUCCCCAGCUCCUAGAACCCCUCCAGCGCAGGCAAUCUGAUAUUUGUGGCACCCCUACUACGAUCCUGGCUAAAAAGGCAAGACACUAAAGACGUGCUUACCAAGUGUUGCAGUUGCUGAGGCCAGCACCAUCUCAGACCCUAGAAGACGGCUGGUGAUGUUAACAGAAAAACAACGAUCUGGGGAGAAGGUGAAGUGAGCUGAUUUGCCCAGAGCCGUAUGUUUUACCAGCACAAUUUUGAAUACAGCAGGUCAAUCCACUAGUCCUUUCUUCUCUCUCUGCUUCUCUACCUGUGCAAUGGAAAUGAUCACAGCAGCCUCAUAAUGGGAUUGUGAGGAUUUGGGAGUUAAAUAGGAACUCUUGCUAGCUCAAAGAUCGUCCUCUAUGUUCCAUAAAACAGCCUUGAUUCUAGGGCACAGGGAUAAUGACAGAGAGUACAUUUUCUAUGAGCCUUGCAUAGGUGUUAUAGUCGCGUCUGGUUUUCAAUUAGCACUCAAUCAGGAGUGCCCUUGGAACUCCCCUGGCUGGUUCUGUAGUUCAUGUGAGCUCUGUUAGGGGACAGGAAGGUACAGUUAAAACUCAAAGGUGAGGACAAGUAAACAGGGCCGAGAGUUCUGCAAACUAUUGCUGUAUGGAGGGCCAGCCACUUUAUUAAUGUGUAUAUGGAAGAAACCAGAUCAGAUGGUCCUCUGACACAUGAGCCUUUUGUUUAUUAGCAUCCUGUCUCUUGGCGUGUUUGUAAAAAUAUAUGUGAGAGCCACGGGUGCUCAGAAUUUAUGACUCUGCAGGGUUAGAUCUAUGUCCACUCCCAGCCCUGGUUCACUGGGAAUCAGGCUCAUCCCUACGAUAGCAAAGUUGGGGGAUGAAAAAUGAGAGCUAUCUUUAUAAAAUCUUGACUGUGGCAUCUUUCUGAAAAGAUUGCAUCCGGGAGAGCACAACCAACACUGCUUUUGCAAUUUCACGCCCGUAAUGGGUGUGUUGUAUGGGGAAGGGUGGCAGGGGCAGUGUUUGCUUCCAAGUGGUAGUGAUAGUGAAACAAACUCAUGGUCUCUCCCUGGUUUCAAUCAACCCUCCCACCAUUGCCAUUUGUCUUCCUAAAACAAAAAUCUCAUGUGUCAUUGCCUUGCGUAUGAACCUUUGAUGGCUCCUGUUUGCUUUUGGAGUUAGAAUUUCUUCAUAUGGCUCAGCACAGCCUGCCCUUCUGAUGUCAUCUCCUGGCAUACCCCCUUACACACUCCAUAAUCUAACUAGCUAGGAUGAUUCGGGAUUAAAUGAGGCAGUCCCCAUGGUGGCUCAGAUUGUAGGCUUUAGAUCCAGAUUCUGGCUUUGAAUCCAGGAUCUCACUAGUUGUGUAGUCUCAGAUAAGUUACUUACCCUUCUGUGCUUCAGUUUGCCCAUCUAUAAAAUAGGGGACAUAAUAUCAUAAGGCGUCUGUGGACAGUAAAUGAAUUGAUACAGAGUAUGUAAAGCAGUGCCUGACACAUAGCAAAUAUCAUGGAAGAUUGGGUAGCAUUAUUAUUAUUUAUGUUGAUCUGAAUGUGGCAUUCUCUUUGACACCUCUGUGCCUUUGUACGUGCAGUUUCCGUAGCCUGUAAUGCCCUCUCCCUCUUCUAUGCCUAAGGCUAACACCUUCAACACCUCUCUCAAGUGUCAUAACUUCUUUGCCUCUCUCUUUGCAUCUCCCACUGUCUGACACAGCACAGCAGAUUAUUGCAGCUUUUUAGAAACAAGUCUUUCUCCCCCUAUAAGAUUGUGACUUUCCUGAGGGCAAUGGUUAUCUUCAUUUUUAUUUAUUUACUUAUUUAUUAUUUUUUGCUGAAGAAGAUUAGCCCUGAGAUAACAUCCACGCCAGGCUUCCUCUACUUUAUAUGUGGGUUGCUGCUACAGCAUGGCUGACAUGUAGUAUAGGUCUGCACCUGGGAUCUGAAUGAGCCAACCCAGGCUGCUGAAGUGGAGUGCACUGAACUUAAUUACUAGGCCAUGGGGCCUAGUUAUCUUCAUUUUUGUUAUCUCUAGGUUCCAGAAGUUUUGGUGUGAAACAGGCCUCAGAAAUUAUUGAUGGAUCCACAAAAAUAUUUGUAUAAAAAUGUUCAUAGCAGCGUUAUUCAUAAUAGCCAAAACGUGAAAACAAUGCAAAUGUCUGUCAACUGAUGAAUGGACAAACAAAUGUGGUAUAUUUAUCUCAUAGAAUAUUACUCACACAUAAAAAGGAAUGAAGGAUUGACACAUUACAAUAUGGAUGAAACUUGAGGGCAUUAUUCUAAGUGAAAGAAGCCAGACACUAAAGACCACAUAUUGUAUGAUUCCAUUUGUAUAUUAUAAAAAAUGUCAAGAAUAGGCAAAUCUACAGAGACAGAGAGUAGAUGAGUAGUUUCUUAGAGCCAGGGGAAGAGAUGGAAGGAUGGGGAGGUAUAGUUGAAGGCUGUUGAGUUUCCUUUUGGAGUGAUGAAAAUGUUCUGAAAUUGAUUGUGAUGAUUGCACAAAUCUGAAUACGUGAAAAACCACUGAAUUGUGCACUUUAAAAUGGGCAGAUUGUAUAAUAUGUGAAUUAUGUGUCAAUAAAGCUGUUACCAAAAAAAAAGAAAGAAGUAUUGCUUGAAUGAGUGGGUGAAUGAGGGGGAGCCAUUUUGUGUUUGCGUUGAGUGUAAACACAUCCAAGAGCCAAAUCUCAAGUCGCUGCCUCCCUGAGUGGGCCAGUGUGAAGGUUCCUUGCCUUCCUGGCUUCUUGCUGCCACGUACCCUCUGCUCAAGCACUUGCUUUCCAGCUUGCUUCCCUUGGCUCCUCACUGCCUUCCAGUCUCCCCUCUUC
This 3751-nucleotide long non-coding RNA is filed under the name Equus caballus (horse). RNAcentral describes it as "lncRNA (ENSECAG00000057193.1)". Lineage: Eukaryota; Metazoa; Chordata; Mammalia; Perissodactyla; Equidae. The record is from RNAcentral.